GUGGCGAACGGGUGAGUAACACGUGAGUAACCUGCCCUUGACUCUGGGAUAACCUCCGGAAACGGAAGCUAAUACCGGAUAUGACGCACGGAGGCAUCUCCUGUGCGUGGAAAGAACUUCGGUCAAGGAUGGACUCGCGGCCUAUCAGGUAGUUGGUGAGGUAACGGCUCACCAAGCCUACGACGGGUAGCCGGCCUGAGAGGGUGACCGGCCACACUGGGACUGAGACACGGCCCAGACUCCUACGGGAGGCAGCAGUGGGGAAUAUUGCACAAUGGGCGCAAGCCUGAUGCAGCAACGCCGCGUGAGGGAUGACGGCCUUCGGGUUGUAAACCUCUUUUAGUAGGGAAGAAGCGAAAGUGACGGUACCUGCAGAAAAAGCACCGGCUAACUACGUGCCAGCAGCCGCGGUAAUACGUAGGGUGCGAGCGUUGUCCGGAAUUAUUGGGCGUAAAGAGCUCGUAGGCGGUCUGUCGCGUCUGCUGUGAAAACCCGAGGCUCAACCUCGGGCCUGCAGUGGGUACGGGCAGACUAGAGUGCGGUAGGGGAGAAUGGAAUUCCUGGUGUAGCGGUGGAAUGCGCAGAUAUCAGGAGGAACACCGAUGGCGAAGGCAGUUCUCUGGGCCGUAACUGACGCUGAGGAGCGAAAGCGUGGGGAGCGAACAGGAUUAGAUACCCUGGUAGUCCACGCCGUAAACGUUGGGCGCUAGAUGUGGGG
RNAcentral lists this ribosomal RNA (718 nucleotides) under Cryocola sp. Its description in RNAcentral is "bacterial SSU rRNA". It matches the Rfam family "Bacterial small subunit ribosomal RNA", at positions 95 to 827 of the family's 1533-position model. The record is from RNAcentral. Lineage: Bacteria; Bacillati; Actinomycetota; Actinomycetes; Micrococcales; Microbacteriaceae.